RNAcentral lists this ribosomal RNA (253 nucleotides) under uncultured bacterium. RNAcentral describes it as "partial 16S ribosomal RNA". It matches the Rfam family "Bacterial small subunit ribosomal RNA", at positions 524 to 776 of the family's 1533-position model. The record is from RNAcentral.
UACGAAGGGGGCUAGCGUUGUUCGGAAUUACUGGGCGUAAAGAGCGCGUAGGCGGCUUUGCAAGUUGAGAGUGAAAGCCCGGGGCUUAACCUCGGAAUUGCUUUCAAAACUGCAGAGCUAGAGUGUAGUAGGGGAUGAUGGAAUUCCUAGUGUAGAGGUGAAAUUCUUAGAUAUUAGGAGGAACACCGGUGGCGAAGGCGGUCAUCUGGGCUACAACUGACGCUGAGGCGCGAAAGCGUGGGGAGCAAACAGG